This 362-nucleotide long non-coding RNA is filed under the name Mytilus galloprovincialis (Mediterranean mussel). Lineage: Eukaryota; Metazoa; Mollusca; Bivalvia; Mytilida; Mytilidae. The record is from RNAcentral.
UAUUUUUAUUAAAAUAAUUGUUUCUCCAAUAGCUCUUUGCAUCCAUGACAGCUGUUUAUUCGGGACAAUUAUAUAAUUUUUAAUGUAAACUUUGUUGUACGAACGUACAUGACUUUUAGAACGCACCUACGCAUGUGAGAUUUCCGCGGGGUUUUGGUGAAUGUAAACAGAAAAAUACGAGGACCGAGAAUACUGAACACAAACAGAGAAAACGUUAUUUAAAUGGUAAAUCACUUAUUUAAAUAUAAUCGGAAUAUUCACAAAAGAAUUUGUAACGUUCUUUUGUUGGUAAUUCAUUGAUAUUUAGAUAGUUAGAGCAUUGUUGUUCACAAGAUGAUGGUAGUGAACGGGCGUUGCCACAA